GCGCCUGUAGCUCAGGUGGAUAGAGCGGCGGGCUUCGAACCCGCAGGCCGGGGGUUCAAAUCCCUCCAGGCGCG
Molecule: transfer RNA, 74 nt
Filed under: bacterium
Lineage: Bacteria
Also listed under: 2 other names
Description: tRNA-Arg
Rfam family: tRNA
About the family: Transfer RNA (tRNA) molecules are approximately 80 nucleotides in length. Their secondary structure includes four short double-helical elements and three loops (D, anti-codon, and T loops).
Source: RNAcentral